Molecule: microRNA precursor, 208 nt
Filed under: Oryza nivara
Lineage: Eukaryota; Viridiplantae; Streptophyta; Magnoliopsida; Poales; Poaceae
Description: MIR812 microRNA precursor family
Rfam family: MIR812 microRNA precursor family
Source: Rfam by way of RNAcentral
AAUAAGUGUAGUUUUACACUAUUCACGUUUAACGUUUGACCGUUCGUUUUAUUUGAAAAUAUUUUAUGAUUAGUAUUUUUAUUACUAUUAGAUGAUAAAACAUGAAUAGUACUUUAUAUGUGACUAAAUAUUUUUAAAUUUUUCAUAAAUUUUUUAAAUAAGACGGACGGUCAAACGUUGAACACGGAUAUCUAUGACUGCACUUAUU